This 1427-nucleotide long non-coding RNA is filed under the name Sorghum bicolor (sorghum). RNAcentral describes it as "long non-coding RNA (SBIC_LNC017095)". The record is from RNAcentral. Lineage: Eukaryota; Viridiplantae; Streptophyta; Magnoliopsida; Poales; Poaceae.
CUUCUUCUUCUUCUCCUCCUCCUCCUCCUCCUCCUCCUUCUUCUUCUUCUUCUUCUUCUUCUUCUUCUUCUUCUUCUUCUUCUUCUUCUUCUUCUUCUUCUUCUUCUUCUUCUUCUUCUUCUUCUUCUUCUACUACUACUACUCUCUUCUACUACCACUUUGUAUUGCUAUUUGGAUUUGGAUGACCCAUGUGAUAUUUACUUUUUUUCUCCUAUUUGUGGCAUUUGCAAUGAUGAAUUUUUUCAAACUUUUAAAAAAUGCUGAGGCAAUGGCAUUUGCAAAGAUGACAAACUUUUUAUGCUGAGGCAGCGGCUAUGAUGAUGAAAUGUCCUCAUACUUCUGAGCCUCUAAACUAGGAUGGCUUGUAUACCACAUACAAGCAACCAGUUUAGAAGCGAUGUGAUGACAAUGGAACAAAUUUGAGCCAAUUAUUCUAUUUGAUACUAUUCUUAUACAAUAAUGUACUUAUAUAUAUACAUUAAUGAUUUAAAUUUUGUUGCCUUUUCUAAUUCAACUUAAGAAUAACUUUACUCUAUAAAUUUCAUUUGUUCAUUCCACUACGGCCUACUAGACUAACGAAAUCAUUGACACUUGUAGAUUCUAGCUUGGACAGCCUAUUUAAGAUGAUUCCUGAGAAAAAUAUCAAUUAUAUUGUUUAUAUGAUUCCUGUGAUGUCUGUCAAUUUGAGAUUUUUAUGCUGCCUAUGAUGCCAACGUACUUUUUGCUAAGCAAAUGCCACGGCCUGUGAUGCCUAAUUUUUUCUAAGAAAAAGCCACUGCCUAUCAUGCGAAAUUAUUUUGAAAUGGAGUUGAUUUGUAAAGGCCAAAGGACUUUGCCCUUCAGGAAUGAUUCGACUACUACUACUCUAUUCUACUACUACUGCUCCUCUCUUCUUCUUUUUAUUCUUCUUUUUCUUCUUCUUCUUCUUCUUCAUCUUCUUCUUCAUCUUCCUCUUCUUCUUCUUCUUCUUCUUCUCCUUCUUCUUCUUCUUCUUCUUCUCCUCCUCCUCCUCCUCCUCCUCCUCCUCCUCCUCCUUCUUCUUCUUCUUCUUCUUCUUCUUCUUCUUCUUCUACUCUCUUCUACUACCACUUUGUAUUGCUAUUUGGAUUUGGAUGACCCAUGUGAUAUUUACUCUUUUCCUCCUAUUUGUGGCAUUUGCAAUGAUGAAUUUUUUUCAAACUUCUAAAAAAUGCUGAGGCAAUGACAUUUGCAAUGAUGACAAACUUUUUAUGCUGAGGCAGCGGCUAUGAUGAUGAAAUGUCCUCAUACUUCUGAGCCUCUAAACUAGGAUGCCUUGUAUACCACAUACAAGCAACCAGUUUAGAAGCGAUGUGAUGACAAUGGGAUAAAUUUGAGCCAAUUAUUCUAUUUGAUACUAUUCUUAUACAAUAAUAUACUUAUAUAUAUAUAUACAUUAAUGAUUUAAA